GCUACUGGCUAGGAACCAGCUGUCGAGUGUAUUUUGAUGACGAAUUAUGGCGUGGCAGCGUCAGCGUUUACGCUUUUUUGGCUCAGUCGACCUUCUGUGAUGUUCCUAUUCUGUGAUUUUGUGUUUCCCCGACGAUUUUUCGAACAAAUCCGAACGCAUUGUGGGUGAUGUAUUUUUGCUGUGUUUUGAAAUUUUUGCACGUGAAAAUUGAAUAGCUUGAAAAAUUCACAAUUUUAUUUAGUAAAUGUAACUUUGAACGCUUUCGUAGCAUUCUUGGGAGUUAAAAUUACAUGGAGAGUUAGUAUUUUGGUGUCUAAACCAUUUAUAUGGCGUAGAAGUUGGAUUUUGACACCAGUUAGACGGUCAAGUUGCAAUUUUUCCACGUGAAAGAAUCUACAGUAAAAUGUUUGGGUGUGUUGUGUCUGGUCGACUGGUGAGUUACUUAAAUUGUAGAAUUACU
Paramuricea clavata is the source of this 460-nucleotide non-coding RNA. Lineage: Eukaryota; Metazoa; Cnidaria; Anthozoa; Malacalcyonacea; Plexauridae. The record is from the annotation of a GenBank genome assembly.